RNAcentral lists this ribosomal RNA (279 nucleotides) under uncultured bacterium. RNAcentral describes it as "partial 16S ribosomal RNA". It matches the Rfam family "Bacterial small subunit ribosomal RNA", at positions 506 to 784 of the family's 1533-position model. The record is from RNAcentral.
UGCCAGCCGCCGCGGUAAUACGGAGGGUGCAAGCGUUAAUCGGAAUUACUGGGCGUAAAGCGUGCGUAGGCGGUGCAUUAAGUUGGAAGUGAAAUACCUGGGCUCAACCCAGGAACUGCUUUCAAAACUGGUGCACUAGAGAAUAGUAGAGGAUGGCGGAAUUUCCGGUGUAGAGGUGAAAUUCGUAGAUAUCGGAAGGAACACCAAUGGCGAAGGCAGCCAUCUGGGCCAUUUCUGACGCUGAGGUGCGAAAGCGUGGGGAGCAAACAGGAUUAGAUA